GCCGAGCUGGCUGACAGAACAGAGUAGCAGCAUAGCUUGCUUUGAGCACCCAGUCACCCUACGGCUGGAGCAGAAAGGCUGUAACAGCAGGGAAGACGUGAGCAGAACAUUACUCAGCUGUCAGGAUACAGGACUGUGCUGCUGAGGAAAGUACAAGUGAAUAUAUUCUGCAAAACUGCAAAUCCAGCACAAAGGCUUUAUUUAUUUUUUCCAGAGGAGGGAGACGGAGGCCUGAAGCCAUGAUUUUGUCUUCAUUCUGCGUGCAACAUAUCUCAAGGACAGAGCACUGGACUGUAAACAAAAGGGACAGCUGUAAGGUCAUGAACAUUCCUGGAAGC
This 338-nucleotide long non-coding RNA is filed under the name Athene cunicularia (burrowing owl). RNAcentral describes it as "lncRNA (ENSACUG00000004831.1)". The record is from RNAcentral. Lineage: Eukaryota; Metazoa; Chordata; Aves; Strigiformes; Strigidae.